This 512-nucleotide ribosomal RNA is filed under the name uncultured bacterium. Its description in RNAcentral is "partial 16S ribosomal RNA". It matches the Rfam family "Bacterial small subunit ribosomal RNA", at positions 28 to 523 of the family's 1533-position model. The record is from RNAcentral.
GACGAACGCUGGCGGCGUGCUUAACACAUGCAAGUCGAACGGAGAUUCAGCAAUGGAUCUUAGUGGCGAACGGGUGAGUAACGCGUAGGCAAUCUGCCUUCUAGAUGGGGACAACAUCCCGAAAGGGGUGCUAAUACCGAAUGUUGUACCGUUUCCGCAUGGAGAUGAUACUAAAGGGGGCCUCUGUAUAUGCUACCGCUAGAAGAUGAGCCUGCGUUGGAUUAGCCAGUUGGAGGGGUAACGGCCCACCAAGGCUUCGAUCAGUAGCCGGUCUGAGAGGAUGAACGGCCACACUGGGACUGAGACACGGCCCAGACUCCUACGGGAGGCAGCAGUGGGGAAUCUUCCGCAAUGGACGAAAGUCUGACGGAGCAACGCCGCGUGAGUGAAGAAGGUUUUCGGAUCGUAAAGCUCUUUCGUUAGGGACGAACGUGCUCUUUGUGAAUAAUGAGGAGUAAUGACGGUACCUAAAUAAGAAGCCACGGCUAACUACGUGCCAGCCGCCGCAGUAA